GGGGACAUAGCUCAGUUGGUGAGAGCGCAGAGCUUAUACCUCUGGAAUCUGUCGAAGGUUCAAGUCCUUCUGUCCCUACCA
RNAcentral lists this transfer RNA (81 nucleotides) under Bacillota bacterium. RNAcentral's name for it is "tRNA-Ile". It matches the Rfam family "tRNA". Rfam says of the family: Transfer RNA (tRNA) molecules are approximately 80 nucleotides in length. Their secondary structure includes four short double-helical elements and three loops (D, anti-codon, and T loops). Further hydrogen bonds mediate the characteristic L-shaped molecular structure. tRNAs have two regions of fundamental functional importance: the anti-codon, which is responsible for specific mRNA codon recognition, and the 3' end, to which the tRNAs corresponding amino acid is attached (by aminoacyl-tRNA synthetases). tRNAs cope with the degeneracy of the genetic code in two manners: having more than one tRNA (with a specific anti-codon) for a particular amino acid; and 'wobble' base-pairing, i.e. permitting non-standard base-pairing at the 3rd anti-codon position. Lineage: Bacteria; Bacillati; Bacillota. The record is from RNAcentral.